Aphis gossypii (cotton aphid) is the source of this 505-nucleotide long non-coding RNA. RefSeq lists it as uncharacterized. The record is from RefSeq and is a predicted model, not a curated record. The transcript has 3 exons. Lineage: Eukaryota; Metazoa; Arthropoda; Insecta; Hemiptera; Aphididae.
AAAAUGUGAGGAUUUUGCUUAAUGUCCCAUAUUCAUAAUAUGUCUAAGUACAACCAGUGAGACCGGUUUAUAUGGAUCGAAAAUUAAAUAAUUAGAACUUUUAUUACGUGGGUUAUAAUUUUUGAAAGGAUUCAUUUUAAUUUUUCAAGUGGAAAGCUAAAAGCUAUUUUAAAAUAAUAACAGUUUUAUGCACGAUAUUCAGAAAGUAUUUUAAAUGUCAUUCGGGAACGUCAAAACUUGACGUCUUAACGAACGUUAAAACGAUAGCACAUAGAAAUAUAUUAUAGAUGGGUACAAAAAAGAGCUUAAACAUAAAAAGUUUUAAGCUACGAAAAGUUUCUUCGACAUAAUGACUUAAUUACUACGUUUAAAGAAUAUUUUUAAUGAUAUUAAACCAACGUAGUUACGUAAUAAUUAUUUUGAAAAAUUUCGAUACAAAUUUUGAAAUAUCUAUUAAAAAAAACUGCAUGAAUCAACAACAUGUUCGAUAUAACAGUAAUCUGUC